RNAcentral lists this transfer RNA (72 nucleotides) under bacterium. Its description in RNAcentral is "tRNA-Gln". It matches the Rfam family "tRNA". From Rfam's summary of the family: Transfer RNA (tRNA) molecules are approximately 80 nucleotides in length. Their secondary structure includes four short double-helical elements and three loops (D, anti-codon, and T loops). Further hydrogen bonds mediate the characteristic L-shaped molecular structure. tRNAs have two regions of fundamental functional importance: the anti-codon, which is responsible for specific mRNA codon recognition, and the 3' end, to which the tRNAs corresponding amino acid is attached (by aminoacyl-tRNA synthetases). tRNAs cope with the degeneracy of the genetic code in two manners: having more than one tRNA (with a specific anti-codon) for a particular amino acid; and 'wobble' base-pairing, i.e. permitting non-standard base-pairing at the 3rd anti-codon position. The record is from RNAcentral.
UGGGGCGUAGCCAAGCGGUAAGGCAGCGGCCUUUGAAGCCGCUAUGCGUAGGUUCGAAUCCUACCGCCCCAA